Molecule: long non-coding RNA, 1773 nt
Filed under: Sorghum bicolor (sorghum)
Lineage: Eukaryota; Viridiplantae; Streptophyta; Magnoliopsida; Poales; Poaceae
Description: long non-coding RNA (SBIC_LNC011894)
Source: RNAcentral
UUUUGUCCAUACUCCUUUCUGUUUGUUCGUAUUUUUUAGUUGUAGCUAUCACAUGGUUCUAUAAUUUUUAAUUAUCUAUGGUGGCUACAUCUAAUACUAAUAUUCUCAUCUGAUUAAGAUUAGAAGUGAAAUAAUUUAUUGCAGUGCACCUUUAUGAAAAGAUGGUGUUUGUGGUACUGUUGCCAUGAUAAUUUAGCAAUAUCAAAUGUAUUAGAAUGUGAUAUACCUGGGUUGUUUGUGCAGGUUCAUGUCUGGGAACUCUUUGUCGGUGUGAAACAUCAUGUCUGCAGAACGCCACAAAAACCGUUGGCACGCAGCUUGCCAAGGGCGAGGCAACGGAAAGUAAAUGGAUGUAAACACCCAAUGCCCUAGAGAUGAAUUUCAGAGAUUGUUCACCUCACCGCUGUAGAUAAACAAAUCAGAGGGGACUUACGACGGCUGCAGGCAAGUAGGCGAUGAAGCCCAGUGCCCGACGAACAAUGGGGGCAUGCCAGGGAUGAAUGGCGACGACGAGCUACGGAUGGGCAAGGGCGACUGCGGCUGGCGAUGGACAGAGGAUCGAUAGGGUUGAUCGACGUUGUGUGCGAUGGCGAAGGUGGCGCGCGAGAUCCAGGGACGAGGAGGUGAGGUUGCGCGCGGUGUCAUGCGAGGGCCAGGGACUUGUAGGUGAGGGCACGGUCGCGUGACUGGCGGCGCGGGGUGAUCACGGAAUUGAUCACGAUUGUUAGGGGAUUGAUUUUGCCUUCCUGAUCUGUUGCGGCUGUUACAGGAUUGAUGAUUUUUGCCUUCCUGUUUCGGGUGGUGGCAUUUGAUAAAGUCUCCACGCCUGGGGCUCAGCCGGGGUGGUAUUUUGAGGGAAGCCAACGGAGUCGCGGAGAGUGGAUCGCACCCACGCAGGCAGACGGACGAUGUUCAAUUGCCGCACGAAAAAGUGUCCAUUCUUUAGUCUUUUUAGUUGUAGGAGAUUGUUCAGAAAAAACUUGUUGUUGUGGGUGAGAUAGUAUGACAUCCUAUUUGAUGGUUUUUGUUUUCUCUCUCAUUGCACUGUUAAGCUUGUACAUCCUACAUUGUUGUUGUCCAAGCCAUAACUACCAUUGCGAUAAGGUAUAGUAAACCUUGUAGACUGAAGAUAUAUGAUUUUCUUCAUGCUUUAGCUCUUGGGUGUGUGCAGUCAAUAUUUUCAGAAUUGUAGCUAAGUAAUAGGGGAAAUUAGGGUGCUGGUGCUUAAGGUCCUAAAUGAAAUGUAUAGAGCUCAAGAUUAUCUUGCCAGGUAUAUAGUAUUGAGGUGGCCUCUUUUUUUUCUUUGCCUUGUUUCUGUAUAGAUAUUCACCAGCAUGAUAUUUGCAAACUUGAAUGGACCCAUGAGAGGCAUCUUGAUUUUGUCCAUACUCCUUUCUGUUUGUUCGUAUUUUUUAGUUGUAGCUAUCACAUGGUUCUAUAAUUUUUAAUUAUCUAUGGUGGCUACAUCUAAUACUAAUAUUCUCAUCUGAUUAAGAUUAGAAGUGAAAUAAUUUAUUGCAGUGCACCUUUAUGAAAAGAUGGUGUUUGUGGUACUGUUGCCAUGAUAAUUUAGCAAUAUCAAAUGUAUUAGAAUGUGAUAUACCUGGGUUGUUUGUGCAGGUUCAUGUCUGGGAACUCUUUGUCGGUGUGAAACAUCAUGUCUGCAGAACGCCACAAAAACCGUUGGCACGCAGCUUGCCAAGGGCGAGGCAACGGAAAGUAAAUGGAUGUAAACACCCAAUGCCCUAGAGAUGAAUUUCAGAGAUUGUUCAC